RNAcentral lists this ribosomal RNA (442 nucleotides) under uncultured bacterium. Its description in RNAcentral is "partial 16S ribosomal RNA". It matches the Rfam family "Bacterial small subunit ribosomal RNA", at positions 338 to 795 of the family's 1533-position model. The record is from RNAcentral.
CCUACGGGUGGCAGCAGUGGGGAAUAUUGGGCAAUGGGCGCAAGCCUGACCCAGCAACGCCGCGUGAAGGAAGAAGGCUUUCGGGUUGUAAACUUCUUUUGACAGGGAAGAGUAGAAGACGGUACCUGUCGAAUAAGCCACGGCUAACUACGUGCCAGCAGCCGCGGUAAUACGUAGGUGGCAAGCGUUGUCCGGAUUUACUGGGUGUAAAGGGCGUGUAGCCGGGUUGACAAGUCAGAUGUGAAAUCCUGCGGCUUAACCGCAGAACUGCAUUUGAAAAUGUUGAUCUUGAGUACCGGAGAGGUCAUCGGAAUUCCUGGUGUAGCGGUGAAAUGCGUAGAUAUAAGGAAGAACACCAGUGGCGAAGGCGGCUUACUGGACUGUAACUGACGUUGAGGCUCGAAAGCGUGGGGAGCAAACAGGAUUAGAUACCCUAGUAGUC